AUUGAACGCUGGCGGCAUGCCUUACACAUGCAAGUCGAACGGCAGCACGGGUGCUUGCACCUGGUGGCGAGUGGCGAACGGGUGAGUAAUACAUCGGAACAUGUCCUGUAGUGGGGGAUAGCCCGGCGAAAGCCGGAUUAAUACCGCAUACGAUCUACGGAUGAAAGCGGGGGACCUUCGGGCCUCGCGCUAUAGGGUUGGCCGAUGGCUGAUUAGCUAGUUGGUGGGGUAAAGGCCUACCAAGGCGACGAUCAGUAGCUGGUCUGAGAGGACGACUAGCCACACUGGGACUGAGACACGGCCCAGACUCCUACGGGAGGCAGCAGUGGGGAAUUUUGGACAAUGGGAGAAAGCCUGAUCCAGCAAUGCCGCGUGUGUGAAGAAGGCCUUCGGGUUGUAAAGCACUUUUGUCCGGAAAGAAAUCCUUGGCCCUAAUACGGUCGGGGGAUGACGGUACCGGAAGAAUAAGCACCGGCUAACUACGUG
Molecule: ribosomal RNA, 486 nt
Filed under: uncultured bacterium
Lineage: Bacteria
Description: partial 16S ribosomal RNA
Rfam family: Bacterial small subunit ribosomal RNA
Source: RNAcentral